UGCGAAGGCAGCUUUCUGGAUCAUUACUGACACUGAGGAACGAAAGCAUGGGUAGCGAAGAGGAUUAGAUACCCUCGUAGUCCAUGCCGUAAACGAUGUGUGUUAGACGUUGGAAAUUUAUUUUCAGUGUCGCAGCGAAAGCGAUAAACACACCGCCUGGGGAGUACGACCGCAAGGUUAAAACUCAAAUGAAUUGACGGGGACCCGCACAAGUAGUGGAGCAUGUGGUUUAAUUCGAAGAUACGCGCAGAACCUUACCAACACUUGACAUGUUCGUCGCGACUCUAAGAGAUUAGAGUUUUCGGUUCGGCCGGACGAAACACAGGUGCUGCAUGGCUGUCGUCAGCUCGUGUCGUGAGAUGUUGGGUUAAGUCCCGCAACGAGCGCAACCCUCACUUUUAGUUGCCAUCAUUAAGUUGGGCACUCUGAAAGAACUGCCAGUGAUAAGCUGGAGGAAGGUGGGGAUGACGUCAAGUCCUCAUGGCCCUUACGUGUUGGGCUACACACGUGCUACAAUGGUAUCUACAACAGGAAGCAAGACUGCGAAGUUAAGCAAAUCCCUAAAAGAUACCUCAGUUCGGAUUGCACUCUGCAACUCGAGUGCAUGAAGCUGGAAUUACUAGUAAUCGUAGAUCAGCGUGCUACGGUGAAUGCGUUCCCGGGUCUUGUACACACCGCCCGUCACACCAUGGGAGUUGGUUCUACCUUAAGGCAAGGUUUUAAACCCUUGACCACGGUAUAGUCAGCGACUGGGGUGAAGUCGUAACAAGGUAACCGUA
This 779-nucleotide ribosomal RNA is filed under the name uncultured bacterium. RNAcentral's name for it is "bacterial SSU rRNA". It matches the Rfam family "Bacterial small subunit ribosomal RNA", at positions 714 to 1504 of the family's 1533-position model. The record is from RNAcentral.